UCUCCUCCCCCGUCCCCCAGACUUAACACAGGCAGCAUUGUGGAAUCACAUUGAGGAGAAAAGAAAUAAACAAGGGGAAAAGCUUAACAAAAGGCAAGCAUUGACUACCAACAUAAACCAAACUCGAAAUUGAGAGUAACAUAUGAAAGAAGCGAUUUGAGAGGGAUUCUUAAAUCCAGAUGGUAGUUGUGACAGAUGAAUGGCUCAGCACCUGAGAAGCAGUGGCUCUGGGAUUGACUCAGAAUGGACUGCAGGGAAGAUGCUACUGAUGCUUGGUGGUAGCAGGACUAGAGGAGUUUGGGCCUGCCAGAUUCCCACCAUCACAGUAGACCCCAAGCCAAGAUGCUGGCCUUGCACUGAACUUCCCUCAGAAUGUCUACAGGGGCGAGGUAACUUAUGUGGCCUCUCCAUAUUGGUCUGCAGAAUCGUGUGCAAGGAAGGCCUUGGGCCUAGUCUCAAAAUCAAAUGAGAUUUCCUGCUUGAACCAGGGCCUAGCUGGGUGUGUCAGCCUGGAGGCAAGGAUAAUAACGAGAAC
This is a long non-coding RNA of Tachyglossus aculeatus (Australian echidna), 535 nucleotides long. RefSeq lists it as uncharacterized. NCBI's taxonomy places the organism in Eukaryota, Metazoa, Chordata, Mammalia, Monotremata, Tachyglossidae. The record is from RefSeq and is a predicted model, not a curated record. The transcript has 3 exons.